This 497-nucleotide ribosomal RNA is filed under the name uncultured bacterium. Its description in RNAcentral is "partial 16S ribosomal RNA". It matches the Rfam family "Bacterial small subunit ribosomal RNA", at positions 28 to 507 of the family's 1533-position model. The record is from RNAcentral.
GACGAACGCUGGCGGCGUGCCUAAUACAUGCAAGUUGAGCGAUGAAGCUUGGUGCUUGCACCAAUUUGAAGAGCAGCGCACGGGUGAGUAACGCGUGGGGAAUCUGCCUUUGAGCGGGGGACAACAUUUGGAAACGAAUGCUAAUACCGCAUAACAACUUUAAACAUAAGUUUUAAGUUUGAAAGAUGCAAUUGCAUCACUCAAAGAUGAUCCCGCGUUGUAUUAGCUAGUUGGUGAGGUAAAGGCUCACCAAGGCGAUGAUACAUAGCCGACCUGAGAGGGUGAUCGGCCACAUUGGGACUGAGACACGGCCCAAACUCCUACGGGAGGCAGCAGUAGGGAAUCUUCGGCAAUGGACGAAAGUCUGACCGAGCAACGCCGCGUGAGUGAAGAAGGUUUUCGGAUCGUAAAACUCUGUUGGUAGAGAAGAACGUUGGUGAGAGUGGAAAGCUCAUCAAGUGACGGUAACUACCCAGAAAGGGACGGCUAACUACGUG